CAGCCGCCGCGGGAAUACGGAGGGGGCUAGCGUUAUUCGGAAUUACUGGGCGUAAAGCGCACGUAGGCGGAUCAGAAAGUCAGAGGUGAAAUCCCAGGGCUCAAUCUUGGAACUGCCUUUGAAACUCCUGAUCUUGAGGUCGAGAGAGGUGAGUGGAAUUCCGAGUGUAGAGGUGAAAUUCGUAGAUAUUCGGAGGAACACCAGUGGCGAAGGCGGCUCACUGGCUCGAUACUGACGCUGAGGUGCGAAAGCGUGGGGAGCAAACAGGAUUAGAUACCCCAGUAGUCCCUGUCUCUUAUAC
This 301-nucleotide ribosomal RNA is filed under the name uncultured bacterium. RNAcentral describes it as "partial 16S ribosomal RNA". It matches the Rfam family "Bacterial small subunit ribosomal RNA", at positions 509 to 807 of the family's 1533-position model. The record is from RNAcentral.